RNAcentral lists this ribosomal RNA (237 nucleotides) under uncultured bacterium. Its description in RNAcentral is "partial 16S ribosomal RNA". It matches the Rfam family "Bacterial small subunit ribosomal RNA", at positions 100 to 334 of the family's 1533-position model. The record is from RNAcentral.
CGGGACGGGUGAGUAACGCGUGGGUAACCUACCCUGUACACACGGAUAACAUACCGAAAGGUAAUGCUAAUACGGGAUAAUAUAUUUGAGAGGCAUCUCUUGAAUAUCAAAGGUGAGCCAGUACAGGAUGGACCCGCGUCUGAUUAGCUAGUUGGUAAGGUAACGGCUUACCAAGGCGACGAUCAGUAGCCGACCUGAGAGGGUGAUCGGCCACAUUGGAACUGAGACACGGUCCAG